RNAcentral lists this ribosomal RNA (253 nucleotides) under uncultured bacterium. Its description in RNAcentral is "partial 16S ribosomal RNA". It matches the Rfam family "Bacterial small subunit ribosomal RNA", at positions 524 to 776 of the family's 1533-position model. The record is from RNAcentral.
UACGUAGGGUGCGAGCGUUGUCCGGAAUUAUUGGGCGUAAAGAGCUUGUAGGCGGUUUGUCGCGUCUGCCGUGAAAAUCCGGGGCUCAACCCCGGACUUGCAGUGGGUACGGGCAGACUGGAGUGUGGUAGGGGAGACUGGAAUUCCUGGUGUAGCGGUGGAAUGCGCAGAUAUCAGGAGGAACACCGAUGGCGAAGGCAGGUCUCUGGGCCACUACUGACGCUGAGAAGCGAAAGCAUGGGGAGCGAACAGG